RNAcentral lists this ribosomal RNA (406 nucleotides) under Salmonella enterica subsp. enterica serovar Anatum. RNAcentral describes it as "partial 23S ribosomal RNA". It matches the Rfam family "Bacterial large subunit ribosomal RNA", at positions 482 to 788 of the family's 2925-position model. Lineage: Bacteria; Pseudomonadati; Pseudomonadota; Gammaproteobacteria; Enterobacterales; Enterobacteriaceae. The record is from RNAcentral.
GACCGAUAGUGAACCAGUACCGUGAGGGAAAGGCGAAAAGAACCCCGGCGAGGGGAGUGAAAAAGAACCUGAAACCGUGUACGUACAAGCAGUGGGAGCCCCACCACCAAAGCAUUCUCUGGUGUUGAAGGCCCUGCAAAGCAGCAUCGCGGUGGCGGAGCGUCGUUUGCGACGCCCAACACACAAAACAAGCGGUGAGUGCUUUGGGGUGGGGUGACUGCGUACCUUUUGUAUAAUGGGUCAGCGACUUAUAUUCUGUAGCAAGGUUAACCGUAUAGGGGAGCCGUAGGGAAACCGAGUCUUAACCGGGCGUUAAGUUGCAGGGUAUAGACCCGAAACCCGGUGAUCUAGCCAUGGGCAGGUUGAAGGUUGGGUAACACUAACUGGAGGACCGAACCGACUAAUG